This 253-nucleotide ribosomal RNA is filed under the name uncultured bacterium. RNAcentral's name for it is "partial 16S ribosomal RNA". It matches the Rfam family "Bacterial small subunit ribosomal RNA", at positions 524 to 776 of the family's 1533-position model. The record is from RNAcentral.
AACGUAGGACGCAAGCGUUAUCCGGAAUUACUGGGCGUAAAGCGCGUGUAGGUGGUUAGAUAAGUCACUGUUGAAAGCUCCCGGCUAAACUGGGAGAGGUGCGGUGAGACUGUCUGGCUAGAGUAUGGGAGAGGGAUGCAGAAUUCCGGGUGUAGUGGUGAAAUGCGUAGAGAUCCGGAGGAAUACCAGAGGCGAAGGCGGCAUCCUGGCCUAAAACUGACACUGAGACGCGAAAGCAUGGGGAGCGAACGGG